UUUGAUUUUCUGAAUGGAAUAGCUAUUCCAUGGCAUGAUGGAAUAACUAUUUCGAACGAUAUUAUUCUAUGUAAUAACUAUUACACAUUUAGAAUUUCAAUCAAAAUUUGAGAUUUUGGAAAAUAUAUUUCAUGGAAUAAUCAUUCCACAUUUAAAAUUUGAACCAAAGCUAAGAGAAGCUAUUCUAUUCACGUACUACUUCAUGAAUCAAAGCAUGGUAAGGAUGUCCAGUUUUGCAGGAGCGUUUAGACCAAGAAGGAUGCAAUCCCUCUUUAGAAGUGCUUAUGCUAUUUAGCUCUCAAGCAUAUUACUGCAUGCAAUGUGGUAUAUAUUGAGGUCAUUGUUUAUAACUCUUCUUCAGUAUCCAGGUUCAGGGAAUCAGGGUAGAUAUUCAGGUCCAUGGUAGCGCUUGUGUCAAUAAUUGUAUCCACUUGAUGUUUUUGUUUACCUCAAUAUAUCUAAUUGUCAAUCAAUCUCCAGAACAGGUCAUAUUGUGUAAUUUUAAGGUCAUGUUGUAUUGGAUUCAGGUUUCUGUGAACAAAUUUAUUCGUGUAUGUCAUGUAAUCCUGAUAUAUCCAAAAUUGCCACCUUUUCUAUAAGUUUUGGAAUGCGGAAGUAAGAUGAAUUCCUGCUUCAAUUUUAUCAGUGAAUACAAUUACAGAUCACCACAGUACCUACUCAAAAAGCAACAAAGGGUAACGCGGUUCUAGAUAUACAAAUGAGGAAAUAAAGAGAACAUAGCCCAAGGGAAUAUCCAAGUGGACUAGAAACUUUUACAGUACACAUAUGAACAUCUCCUCACUUGAUGAAUUGUCUAUAGGAACAUUAACAUCAGUUUAACCACACCAGAUUACAUCAGUAUGUUGACAACAAAAUCAUUUAUUUAAUAUCUAAAUCAUAUUAUUAUGGCUCAAAGCAGGAAUGUAGUAAGAUAACUUAUAUUGUCCCUCAUCCAAAGGAAACUAAUAAAGUCAGGGCUUAUAAUGUCAAAUGCAACCCCACCAAUUAACUUAAAUAGAAAGAUACAACUAAAAAUAAAAUUAGGAAAUAUGCAACAUACUGUCAUAAUUCAGAUAAAACAACUGACGAAGAAAUAAUUUGACAGUGCACAAAUUAUAUAUGAAGAGUGCAGAUAACAAAAUGACACAGAUGGCGAACAAUAGCACAAAAUUAGGAACUACAGGAAACAAAACCAUACCUGCCAUGGCCUUUCCCAGUCAA
Molecule: unclassified non-coding RNA, 1221 nt
Filed under: Hevea brasiliensis (rubber tree)
Lineage: Eukaryota; Viridiplantae; Streptophyta; Magnoliopsida; Malpighiales; Euphorbiaceae
Source: RNAcentral